GCACAAUGCCUUGCAGAAAGAGCCGGCAGAAGAGCGCCUAUAUGAGCCUCCGUUUCCUCCCCUGUGAAAUGAGAAAGUGGGGCUAGAUGAGCUUGGAUUCUUGCUCGGCCACAUGCUACCAGUGUGAAGUGAAGUGAGGUGCACAGCUCUCCUGGGACCCAGUUUCCUCAGCUCUGAAAGGAGGAAGUUGGACAAGAUCGUUUUCAAGGCCUGAAGGACCGGUUAGAAAUGACCAGAAUGCCACUACCUGGCUGGGCCGGCCCCCCAACCUUGCUGCCAGUGACAGAGCUCCCAGGCCAGCCCCAGGGCCAUCCCUCCGUCUGAAUGGAGGCUGUCACGGAGGGAUCUGGGUUCCCAUCAAUGAAAGUGCAGAAUUAAACAAGAAUCCCCUAGAAUGGAAAGAAAUGGAUGCCAAGGACACCUGGGUGUGUGGCCCUACACACAUCCAGAAGGACGGGUGGUGGAUGAAUGGGCAUCUGGCAAGGAAUGUUCCACCCCCCACCCCAGGGGGGAGAAGAAUCCAAAGUAAAGACAAAGCAGAUUCUUAAAUAUUGA
Long non-coding RNA from Trichosurus vulpecula (common brushtail), 555 nucleotides. RefSeq lists it as uncharacterized. The record is from RefSeq and is a predicted model, not a curated record. The transcript has 2 exons. Lineage: Eukaryota; Metazoa; Chordata; Mammalia; Diprotodontia; Phalangeridae.